This is a long non-coding RNA of Solea solea (common sole), 1040 nucleotides long. RefSeq lists it as uncharacterized. NCBI's taxonomy places the organism in Eukaryota, Metazoa, Chordata, Actinopteri, Pleuronectiformes, Soleidae. The record is from RefSeq and is a predicted model, not a curated record. The transcript is spliced from 3 exons.
GAAUGAAUGUGCAUAUAAAUAGACGAGCGAUGUCACAGAAAUAUCCCCGGGCACAGUCUGCAGUCCUUGUGUGUUACUGUAGAAACGAUUAUGGGUGCAGAAGAUAACCACGGUGGUGACAACGGGAUCGUGGCGGUCCAUCAACACAUGAGCAUCGUGCAGUUUGUUGUUUUUCACCUGAUGUUGAAACUCAAGCUGUGUUCCAUUUGUAGUCGGAACUCGGAAUUUCUGAGGUCACAGAAACUCAGCUUUCCUGUAGCUGUCCUUAAACUUUUAAGGAAAAUUAAAUCUGCCUCCACUAUUGAACAUUUUAAAUCUGCUUUUAAAGACCCACCUCUUCUCCUUGGCCUUCACUUCAGGAUAAAAAUAGUCCACCGGGACACUUCUAUGUAGUUUUUACCACUUAACUAUUCUUUUAUGUCACUAUUUUACUGUUUUACUUCCAUCUUUUAUUGAUGUUAUGUAUGAUUUUUCAUAAAUGUUCUCUAGGGACUAGAGGACUUUAGUACCUGGUGCUUUUUUUAGUUCCUGCUCCGAUGAGGUUCAGCUGAGCCGAUACUAAAAUGUGACGUCAUCAGACUGCCGGUCACUGAUUGGUCGCAGCAUGUCGUCACUGAAGAGUCACAAGCGCAAAGUCCAACCUUCCUGCUGUAUUCAAGCCAUGGCAAGGUCUGGAAGAAACAGUUUCUGCUGCGACUCAGCACAUCCUCUAAACGCUGCCAAUCUGACUGUGAACGGAGAGGAGGUGCAGCUUUUUAAUGGGAAACAAAAUGGAGAGGAAGAAGUCCUAAAGGUCAAAUCAGGCAAAGGAGGAAGAAUGUUGUCAUCAGAGGAGAAAUGCUGAGCGAUUCCUCCAGGCCGUGUUCUCCAGUUCUGCUCGGUGACAUUUUCAGCACCGAGAGGCAGUGGACAGCUCCGCAUUUACAUGAGCCUCCCCUGUGUGUGUGUGUGUGUGUGUAUGUCAAUGUAAUGUCCUCUGAAGUCAUGGAGACCAUACUCUGUGUGUGUGUGUGUGUGUGUGUGUGUGUGUGUGUGUGUGU